AAAACAUAGCCUGUAGGAAUAAUUAUAGGUGCAUUCUGCCCAAUGUGGUUUAUAAAUGGCCGCAGUACUUUGACUGUGCUAAGGUAGCAAAAUAAUUUGACUCUUAAUUGGAGCCCUGUAUGAAAGGGAUUAUGUUAGAUAGUUGUCUCUUUUGAAGAUUAUAAAAUUUACUUAUUUGGUGAAAAUUCCAAUAGUAUAAUAUUAGACGAGAAGACCCUUAGAAUUUUAAGAAAUGUGUAAAAUAUUACUCGUGCUUUUUGUUGGGGCGACAGAGUAUACAUAUAAAAAACAACUUACUUUCACUAUCCACAUACCUAUAAAUUUAAUUAAGAAAAUAAUUACCUAAGGGAUAACAGCAUUAUAAUUUCAUUUUUGUUUGUGACCUCGAUGUUGGAUUAGGGACUGUUGCAGUUAGAAAUUGCAAUAGAAGCUUCUGUUCGAAGUUCUUUUACCUACGUGAUCU
RNAcentral lists this ribosomal RNA (463 nucleotides) under Meghimatium pictum. Its description in RNAcentral is "partial 16S ribosomal RNA". It matches the Rfam family "Bacterial large subunit ribosomal RNA", at positions 1810 to 2606 of the family's 2925-position model. Lineage: Eukaryota; Metazoa; Mollusca; Gastropoda; Stylommatophora; Philomycidae. The record is from RNAcentral.